AACGUGGCUCAGCUGGUAGAGCAACGCACUCGUAAUGCGUAGGUCAGCGGUUCGAAUCCGCUCGUUG
RNAcentral lists this transfer RNA (67 nucleotides) under Slackia equolifaciens. It matches the Rfam family "tRNA". From Rfam's summary of the family: Transfer RNA (tRNA) molecules are approximately 80 nucleotides in length. Their secondary structure includes four short double-helical elements and three loops (D, anti-codon, and T loops). The record is from RNAcentral. Lineage: Bacteria; Bacillati; Actinomycetota; Coriobacteriia; Eggerthellales; Eggerthellaceae.